GUGCUCGCUUCAGCAGCACAUAUUCUAAAAUUAGAAUGAUAUAGAGAAGAUUAGCAUGGCCUCUGUGCAAGGAUGAUAUGCAAAUUUGUGAAGCAUUCCAUAUUUUU
RNAcentral lists this small nuclear RNA (107 nucleotides) under Salvator merianae (Argentine black and white tegu). Lineage: Eukaryota; Metazoa; Chordata; Lepidosauria; Squamata; Teiidae. The record is from RNAcentral.